Molecule: non-coding RNA, 73 nt
Organism: Bos taurus (domestic cattle)
Lineage: Eukaryota; Metazoa; Chordata; Mammalia; Artiodactyla; Bovidae
Source: Rfam
UCCCUAGUGGUCCAGUGGCUAGGACUCUGCACUCCCAGUGCAGGGAGCCUGGGUUCAAUCCCUGAUCAGGGAA